GACGAACGCUGGCGGCACGCUUAACACAUGCAAGUCGAACGGACUUAACUGAUUUUGCUUUUUGAUGUUAGUGGCUGACGUGUGAGAAACACGUGAGCAACCUGCCUCUGAUAGGGCGAAAUCUUCUGGAAACGGGGGGUAAUAGCCCUUAUAAUAGAAAGAUCGCCUGAUUGAUAUAUGAGAGCAAUCCGCUUAGUGAUGGGCUGGCGGCUGAGUAGACAGUUGAUGAGGUAACGGCUGACCAAGUCGCCGACCAGUAGCCGGACUGAGAGGCUGAGCGGCGACAUUGAGACUUAGACACGGCACAGGCUCCGACGGGAGGAAGCAGGGGGGAAUCCUGCAGCAGGGAGGGAACGUUGAUGAAGCGAGGCCGCGUGGAGGAAGCAGGUUUUGGGAGUGUGAACUCCUCUUAGCUGGGAGGAUAGUGACGGUAGCUGAAGAAAAAGCACCGGCUAACUACGUG
RNAcentral lists this ribosomal RNA (463 nucleotides) under uncultured bacterium. RNAcentral's name for it is "partial 16S ribosomal RNA". It matches the Rfam family "Bacterial small subunit ribosomal RNA", at positions 28 to 507 of the family's 1533-position model. The record is from RNAcentral.